Molecule: ribosomal RNA, 465 nt
Filed under: uncultured bacterium
Lineage: Bacteria
Description: partial 16S ribosomal RNA
Rfam family: Bacterial small subunit ribosomal RNA
Source: RNAcentral
CCUACGGGAGGCUGCAGUAGGGAAUCUUCCACAAUGGGCGCAAGCCUGAUGGAGCAACACCGCGUGAGUGAAGACGGGUUUCGGCUCGUAAAGCUCUGUUGUUGGAGAAGAACGUGCGUGAGAGUAACUGUUCACGCAGUGACGGUAUCCAACCAGAAAGUCACGGCUAACUGCGUGCCAGCAGCCGCGGUAAUACGUAGGUGGCAAGCGUUAUCCGGAUUUAUUGGGCGUAAAGCGAGCGCAGGCGGUUGCUUAGGUCUGAUGUGAAAGCCUUCGGCUUAACCGAAGAAGUGCAUCGGAAACCGGGCAACUUGAGUGCAGAAGAGGACAGUGGAACUCCAGGUGUAGCGGUGGAAUGCGUAGAUAUAUGGAAGAACACCAGUGGCGAAGGCGGCUGUCUGGUCUGCAACUGACGCUGAGGCUCGAAAGCAUGGGUAGCGAACAGGAUUAGAUACCCGUGUAGUC